RNAcentral lists this non-coding RNA (709 nucleotides) under Caenorhabditis japonica. RNAcentral's name for it is "Eukaryotic small subunit ribosomal RNA". It matches the Rfam family "Eukaryotic small subunit ribosomal RNA", at positions 1 to 740 of the family's 1831-position model. Lineage: Eukaryota; Metazoa; Nematoda; Chromadorea; Rhabditida; Rhabditidae. The record is from Rfam by way of RNAcentral.
AUCCUGAUUGAUUCUGUCAGCGCGAUAUGCUCAAGUAAAAGAUAAGCCAUGCAUGCUUUGAUUCAUAAAUGAAAUUGCGUACGGCUCAUUAGAGCAGAUAUCACCUUUCUCGGAAUCCUGAAAAGGAUAACUGCGGAAAUUCUGGAGCUAAUACAUGCGACUAUACUCCAACGCAAGGCGGGGUGCAAUUAUUAGAACAGACCAAACGUUUUCGGACGUUGUUUGUUGACUCUGAAUACCGUCGUUUACUGUCAGUUUCGACUGACUCUAUCCGAGAAGGGUGUCUGCCCUUUCAACUAGAUGGUAAUCUAUUGGACUACCAUGGUUGUUACGGGUAACGGAGAAUUAGGGUUCGACUCCGGAGAGGGAGCCUUAGAAACGGCUACCACGUCCAAGGAAGGCAGCAGGCGCGAAACUUAUCCACUGUUGAGUAUGAGAUAGUGACUAAAAAUAUAAAGACUCAUCCUUUUGGAUGAGUUAUUUCAAUGAGUUGAAUAUAAAUUAUUCUUCGAGUAGCAAGGAGAGGGCAAGUCUGGUGCCAGCAGCCGCGGUAAUUCCAGCUCUCCUAGUGUAUCUCGUUAUUGCUGCGGUUAAAAAGCUCGUAGUUGGAUCUAGGUUACGUGCCGCAGUUCGCAAUUUGCGUUAACUGUGGUCGUGACUUCUAAUUUGCUGGUUUGAGGUUGGGUUCGCCCUUCAACUGCCAGCAGGU